This 462-nucleotide long non-coding RNA is filed under the name Bos taurus (domestic cattle). RNAcentral's name for it is "long non-coding RNA NONBTAT002743". Lineage: Eukaryota; Metazoa; Chordata; Mammalia; Artiodactyla; Bovidae. The record is from RNAcentral.
GUGCAUAAAUUGCAGUACAAUUUAUGAAUUGUACUGCAAUUCUCCAAAAGCAAUUACAGUGAUAAACCUAAAAUUCUAACAAAAUAUCCUUGAAAGAAUCAAACCUGGGUAAAACACUAAAUUAGUGGGAAAAUGUCUCCAUUCAAUGAUCAAUUUGUAACCCUAUAAAUAAGUUUUAUAAUGAAGUAUAAUAGGAAAUUUAUCAGUUGGCCUGCCUACCAAACAUCACCCAUAAGCUAACAACAAAAAAACAGGCUGGAAAUAGGGAGACAGGUUUCUAAUCCAAUUCUGGCUCACUGAUUAUAUAACCUGGGAUAAUCUCAACUGGAAAUGGGUAUGGCAUAUCCAUCCUUUCAUGUCUGAAAAUUAAAAGUCAAACUCAGAAAUGUGGCAGUUGUUUAAAAAAGAACUCUAUAAAAUCCAAAGUACUCAUAUACAAUGAAAUUGAAUAAGGAGAAAAAA